Molecule: ribosomal RNA, 301 nt
Filed under: uncultured bacterium
Lineage: Bacteria
Description: partial 16S ribosomal RNA
Rfam family: Bacterial small subunit ribosomal RNA
Source: RNAcentral
CAGCAGCGCGGUAAUACAGAGGGUGCGAGCGUUAAUCGGAUUUACUGGGCGUAAAGCGUGCGUAGGCGGUUAUAUAAGACAGAUGUGAAAUCCCCGGGCUCAACCUGGGAACUGCAUUUGUGACUGUAUAGCUAGAGUACGGCAGAGGGGGAUGGAAUUCCGCGUGUAGCAGUGAAAUGCGUAGAUAUGCGGAGGAACACCGAUGGCGAAGGCAAUCCCCUGGGCCUGUACUGACGCUCAUGCACGAAAGCGUGGGGAGCAAACAGGAUUAGAUACCCCGGUAGUCCCUGUCUCUUAUACA